GGACUGAGCCCGGGAGAGAGAGGGGAGGGGUCGGCGCGCGACCGGGUCAUGCAGGUGCAGACUGGCCGGUCGCUUCCCGCCCUCCAGCCACCCGCAGCUCCCCGGCAGGCGAAGGGCGGCCGCGCGGGUGUGGGCCGAGAGAGGGAGGCGGCUCGGCUGGAGCGCGCCGUCCGCCCGACCCCCGCCGCCUCUCGGGCGCCUGCGCUCACGCUGCGGGGCCCAGCGCAUUGUGAGCCGGGUCGAGCUCCACGCUGGCAGCGUCUGAGAGCUGUCCUGGGCCGGAGGUGGCGCGAACCCUGUGCGGCCUAGAGUGGGCCUGGGAUGCCUCAGCACUAAUGAUCAUGAUCAGAGACCCCGAGUUCUCUCGUGCUGCUACGCUUCGCAACACAUAGCACAAAUGGAAUAUGUGUUGACACACCCCUCUGAAGUUAAGAUCUUUGAUAUUAAGACCCUGACUUUUUUCCCUUUCAUUCUUCCGAACCCUCUGUGUACUUUGAGCAGCACUGUGGUUGAUUAAUAAAUCAUCAAAUGUGAAAGG
Molecule: long non-coding RNA, 538 nt
Filed under: Homo sapiens (human)
Lineage: Eukaryota; Metazoa; Chordata; Mammalia; Primates; Hominidae
Description: long non-coding RNA NONHSAT216201.1
Source: RNAcentral